AACCCCCUGAUUCUGCUUUCAACUUUGGCGGGCUGAGAAUCAGAUAUCAGGGGGGCAAAUACUGCCAUGCGGCAAUAAGGAUUAUAGCAAAUGCGUAAAUCUAAACAACCCCUU
RNAcentral lists this non-coding RNA (114 nucleotides) under Yersinia kristensenii. Its description in RNAcentral is "Pseudoknot of the regulatory region of the repBA gene". It matches the Rfam family "Pseudoknot of the regulatory region of the repBA gene". Lineage: Bacteria; Pseudomonadati; Pseudomonadota; Gammaproteobacteria; Enterobacterales; Yersiniaceae. The record is from RNAcentral.